GACGAACGCUGGCGGCGUGCCUAAUACAUGCAAGUAGAACGCUGAAGGAGGAGCUUACUUCUCUGGAUGAGUUGCGAACGGGUGAGUAACUCGUAGGUAACCUGCCUGGUAGCGGGGGAUAACUAUUGGAAACGAUAGCUAAUACCGCAUAAGAGUAGAUGUUGCAUGACAUUUACUUAAAAGGUGCAAUUGCACCACUACCAGAUGGACCUGCGUUGUAUUAGCUAGUUGGUGGGGUAACGGCGUACCAAGGCGACGAUACAUAGCCGACCUGGUAGGGUGAGCGGCCACACUGGAACUGAGACACGGCCCAGACGCCUACGGGCGGCAGCAGUAGGGAAUCUUCGGCAAUGGACGGAAGUCUGACCGAGCAACGCCGCGUGAGUGAAGAAGGUUUUCGGAUCGUAAAGCUCUGUUGUAAGAGAAGAACGAGUGUGAGAGUGGAAAGUUCACACUGUGACGGUAUCUUACCAGAAAGGGACGGCUAACUACGUGCCAGCCGCCGCAGUAA
This 511-nucleotide ribosomal RNA is filed under the name uncultured bacterium. Its description in RNAcentral is "partial 16S ribosomal RNA". It matches the Rfam family "Bacterial small subunit ribosomal RNA", at positions 28 to 523 of the family's 1533-position model. The record is from RNAcentral.